UCCUUGAUGGUCUAGUGGUUAAGACACCAGCCUUCCACUGCAGGGGGCACAGGUUUGAUCCCUGGUUGGGAAA
Molecule: transfer RNA, 73 nt
Filed under: Ovis aries (sheep)
Lineage: Eukaryota; Metazoa; Chordata; Mammalia; Artiodactyla; Bovidae
Rfam family: tRNA
About the family: Transfer RNA (tRNA) molecules are approximately 80 nucleotides in length.
Source: Rfam by way of RNAcentral